GACGAACCUUGCUAACGUUAUUCGGAAUUACUGGGCUUAAAGCGUGCGCAGGCGGUUUGCUAAGACAGGUGUGAAAUCCCCGGGCUUAACCUGGGAACUGCGCUUGUAACUGGCAAGCUUGAGUGUGGCAGAGGGGGGUGGAAUUCCACGUGUAGCAGUGAAAUGCGUAGAGAUGUGGAGGAACACCGAUGGCGAAGGCAGCCCCCUGGGCUAACACUGACGCUCAUGCACGAAAGCGUGGGGAGCAAACAGG
RNAcentral lists this ribosomal RNA (253 nucleotides) under uncultured bacterium. RNAcentral's name for it is "partial 16S ribosomal RNA". It matches the Rfam family "Bacterial small subunit ribosomal RNA", at positions 524 to 776 of the family's 1533-position model. The record is from RNAcentral.